This 252-nucleotide ribosomal RNA is filed under the name uncultured bacterium. RNAcentral describes it as "partial 16S ribosomal RNA". It matches the Rfam family "Bacterial small subunit ribosomal RNA", at positions 524 to 776 of the family's 1533-position model. The record is from RNAcentral.
UACGAGGGGGGCAAGCGUUGUUCGGAAUUAUUGGGCGUAAAGGGUGCGUAGGCGGUCUGAUAAGUCAUCUGUGAAAUCUAUGGGCUCAACCCAUAGUCUGCAGGCGAAACUGUCGGGCUUGAGUAUGGGAGAGGUGAGUGGAAUUUCCGGUGUAGCGGUGAAAUGCGCAGAUAUCAGGAGGAACACCGGUGGCGAAGGCGGGUCUCUGGGCAGUAACUACGCUGAGGAGCGAAAGCGUGGGGAGCGAACAGG